AUGGCGUCCCGCGACCUCGCCGAGAGCCUGCUCCCCGGCGGGGGCGCCUCCGCCUCCUCCUCCCACGACGAGUACGAGGAGCGUGCGUACGACUCGGACGACAAGGUCUCCAUCUCCAUCUCCGACUCGGAGCCCGACGACGACGGCGACCCCGGCGCCGCGCGCGCGCGCCCGGCCUUCUCCUGGCGGAAGCUCUGGCGCUUCACGGGGCCGGGCUUCCUCAUGUGCAUCGGCUUCCUCGACCCGGGCAACCUCGAGGGGGACCUGCAGGCGGGCGCCGCCGCCGGGUACCAGCUCCUCUGGCUGCUGCUCUGGGCCACGGUCAUGGGCGCGCUCGUGCAGCUGCUCUCCGCGCGCCUCGGGGUCGUCACCGGGAAGCAUCUCGCCGAGCUCUGCCGGGAGGAGUACCCGCCCUGGGCCACGCGCGCGCUCUGGGUCAUGACGGAGCUCGCGCUCGUCGGCGCCGACAUACAGGAGGUCAUCGGCAGCGCGAUUGCCAUCAAGAUCCUCUCCGGGGGCAUCGUGCCGCUCUGGGGCGGCGUCGUCAUCACCGCCUUCGACUGCUUCAUCUUUCUAUUCCUGGAGAAUUAUGGUGUGAGAAAAUUGGAAGCGUUUUUCGGCGUCUUGAUUGCAACCAUGGCUAUAUCAUUUGCGAUCAUGUUUGGUGAAACGAAGCCUAGUGGAAAGGAGCUUCUGAUCGGUUUGGUGGUUCCAAAGCUGAGCUCAAAGACCAUCAAGCAGGCGGUUGGAAUUGUGGGCUGCAUCAUCAUGCCCCAUAAUGUUUUCUUGCACUCAGCGCUAGUGCAGUCCAGGAAGAUUGACACAAAAAAGAAAUCGCGUGUUCAAGAAGCAGUGUACUAUUACAACAUUGAGUCGAUUCUUGCUCUCAUCGUCUCUUUCUUUAUUAACAUCUGCGUUACAACGGUAUUCGCUAAAGGAUUUUAUGGAUCCGACAAAGCUGAUAACAUAGGUCUUGAGAAUGCUGGCCAGUACUUACAGGAGAAAUAUGGAACUGCUCUGUUUCCUGUCCUCUAUAUCUGGGCUAUUGGGUUGUUAGCGUCUGGACAGAGCAGCACAAUCACCGGCACAUAUGCCGGCCAAUUCGUCAUGGGAGGUUUCCUUAAUCUUCGAUUGAAGAAGUGGUUACGAGCAGUGAUUACUCGAAGCUUUGCCAUUAUUCCAACUAUGAUUGUGGCUUUAUUUUUUGAUACUGAAGAUCCUACCAUGGACGUUCUGAACGAGUCACUCAAUGUUCUUCAGUCCAUUCAGAUUCCAUUUGCACUGAUUCCUUUGAUCACCCUUGUUUCGAGUGAGCAGCUCAUGGGGUCAUUCGUGGUCGGUCCUAUCACCAAAGUGAUAAGUUGGAUCGUCACAAUCUUUCUGAUGCUCAUCAACGGAUACCUCAUACUGUCCUUCUACACCAACGAAGUGCGGGGCGCAGUCGUUCGUUCAAGCUUGUGCGUCGUGCUGGCUGUUUACCUCGCGUUCAUCAUCUACCUCAUCCUGAGGAACACCACACUGUAUUCUCGCCUUCGCUCAUCAGUCUCAAAGAGCUCAUGA
This 1560-nucleotide ribosomal RNA is filed under the name Triticum aestivum (bread wheat). RNAcentral's name for it is "partial small subunit ribosomal RNA". Lineage: Eukaryota; Viridiplantae; Streptophyta; Magnoliopsida; Poales; Poaceae. The record is from RNAcentral.